GGGUCAGUAGGUUGGUCGUGCCACCGGUACGUACUGGUCUCACUGAUUCCUCCUUCCUGAAGAACCGUAAUGCCAUUAAUUUGGUGUUGCGGGGAAACAGGACUGUUACUUUGAAAAAAUUAGAGUUUUUAAAGCAAGCUAACGCUUGAAUACAUUAGCAUGUAAUAAUGAAAUAGGACGAUCGAUCCUAUUUUGUUGGUUUCUAGGAUUGACGUA
Molecule: ribosomal RNA, 216 nt
Filed under: Glomeromycotina sp.
Lineage: Eukaryota; Fungi; Glomeromycota
Description: partial small subunit ribosomal RNA
Rfam family: Eukaryotic small subunit ribosomal RNA (bases 40-216)
Source: RNAcentral